RNAcentral lists this long non-coding RNA (615 nucleotides) under Marmota monax (woodchuck). Lineage: Eukaryota; Metazoa; Chordata; Mammalia; Rodentia; Sciuridae. The record is from RNAcentral.
GCCUUUAAGACCUUGAAGUCUAUGGAGGACAACGAGAGUGAGGCUGAUUUUGUGUUUCCUGAUGGGAAAUUAAGGCAGAGUUCCCAUCAGGGUCGGCUGUGUUGAUAAUGACUUCUAUCUUGUGAGCUAAAACAUCUCACCAUCUCUUCAAUAUUUAUUGACUACCCAAGACUGUGCACUAGGAUAUUUUAAAGAUGAUAUGAUUCCCACUUCAGAUGUGAUAUACAGUGAUUAAACCGUAUUCUCACAAGUGGGGUCUAAGUAGUGCCUGAGCUUACGUACACACGUAUUUCUCUCUGAGGUUUGGUCAUCUUAUCUGCAAAUGUUCAUACUGGGAAACACAGUUACCAGUGUUAAAGCCAACGGAAUUGUUGUGCCCUGACAUAUCAGCUUUUAUGUCAGAAUUUUUGACAUAUCAAAAAUUCCUCUAGCAAUGGGAAUUUUCCAGUCUUAAUCAAGUGAUAAACAAAAGAUAUUAGAGCCAAUAUUUGAAAGAACAUUUUUUUUUGGCUGACUUUUUAAAGAACCAUUAAAGCAGAAGUUCAAAUUCCCCUUGGACCUGAGGGUUUGUCAGUCCUUGUAGUUGCUAAUGCCAGUCGUAAGGUUGAAUUCAUU